Molecule: ribosomal RNA, 528 nt
Filed under: Pectobacterium betavasculorum
Lineage: Bacteria; Pseudomonadati; Pseudomonadota; Gammaproteobacteria; Enterobacterales; Pectobacteriaceae
Description: bacterial SSU rRNA
Rfam family: Bacterial small subunit ribosomal RNA
Source: RNAcentral
UGGAGAGUUUGAUCCUGGCUCAGAUUGAACGCUGGCGGCAGGCCUAACACAUGCAAGUCGAGCGGCAGCGGGAAGUAGCUUGCUACUUUGCCGGCGAGCGGCGGACGGGUGAGUAAUGUCUGGGAAACUGCCUGAUGGAGGGGGAUAACUACUGGAAACGGUAGCUAAUACCGCAUAACGUCUUCGGACCAAAGAGGGGGACCUUMGGGCCUCUUGCCAUCGGAUGUGCCCAGAUGGGAUUAGCUAGUAGGCGGGGUAAUGGCCCACCUAGGCGACGAUCCCUAGCUGGUCUGAGAGGAUGACCAGCCACACUGGAACUGAGACACGGUCCAGACUCCUACGGGAGGCAGCAGUGGGGAAUAUUGCACAAUGGGCGCAAGCCUGAUGCAGCCAUGCCGCGUGUGUGAAGAAGGCCUUCGGGUUGUAAAGCACUUUCAGCGGGGAGGAAGGCAGUAAGGYUAAUAACCUUAYUGAUUGACGUUACCCGCAGAAGAAGCACCGGCUAACUCCGUGCCAGCAGCCGCGGUA